UUGUUACUUUGAUGGUUUUAACAUUCCUGUUAUAUAGUUUGUGUCCAAUAUUCUGUUCUCUCCAGUUUUUAGAAGUUAAAUUCCACUUUUUAUUAUGUCUGCUGACUCUUUCUGGUGAUGGGGCAUCUUCUUGUGUGGUUUAAAUUUGGGGGUAAGAUCUCAUGUUUUUCUAUUGCCAUCUGUUCAGGCCAGGCUGAGGGUAUGUCCCUUCAGAAGCCAGCAGAGAAAUAACUGUCAGGAAUCAUUUGUGUGUUCACUUCUUUGCUUAGAAAUUCCUGGACCUGGGGCACCUCAGUGGCUGAGCAGUUGAGUGUCUGCCUUUGGCUCAGGUCAUGAUCCCAGGGUCCUGAGAUCAAACUCCAUGUCAGGGUCCCUGCUCUGUGGGGUGUCUGCCUCUCCCUCUGCCCCUCCCCCUGCUUGGGCUCUCUCUCUCUUUCAUUCUCUCUCUCAAAUAAUAAAAUCUUAAAAAAAAAAAAGAAUGGUCAAAAGAAAUGUAUCAGUUGAGAAUAACUUCAUUUACAAAUAGUAGUUCUAAUAAUAAGGCCAUUUAAGUUUCUCCUGCAAGACACACGACAGUAGACAGUCCUGAGCUGGCACAGCACUUUAGGGGUACCAGACAGGACGAAGGAUAUUUCCAGAGUUCUACUCUGCCAUACUUCACAAGUUGGCUUUCUGUACUCACAUGUUUCCUCACAGCUCAAGGUGGCUACUGCACCUCCCAAGUAUAACGUCUGCAUUAAAAGCAGGGAGAGGGACUCUUGGGUGGCUUAGUCGGUUAAGUGUCUGACUCUUGGUGUCUGCUCAGGUCAUGAUAUCAGAGUCAUGGGAUCAGGCCCCACAUCAGGCCCCACAUUCAGCAAAGCAUCUGCUUAAGGCUCUCUCCCUCUCCCUGUGCCACUCCCCCUACUCCUUCUAAAAUAAGUCAAUAAAUCUUUUUAAAAAUAAUAAAAAAUAAAAGCAGGGAGAAUACUAGAGAGGGAAGAGGGUACUUUCAGUAUUUGUCUUUUAUCAGAGAAGCAACAGCUUCCCCCACAUGGCACUUGCAUACUUCUCAGAUUCCACUGCCAGCAUAUAAUCAUAGGACUAAGUCUAGAUGUAAGAGAGACAGAGAAACAGAGGGAACUGGGGCUGUUCAGGAUUGGCUCAGAACAAUUAGGGUUUGUUCCUGGGACUGUGCAAAUUUGCACCACUCGUGAAACUGAAGUUAUUAGGAAAGGCAGAGCACAGCUGUUCUAAAGGCUACUAGUGGCUCCUACCCUAGGGUCUUUAUAUCUUUCUUUUAUUAUCCAAAAUACGUUUCUUCAGAUUUCACAGGAACAUGCUCUCUCAGGGAUCCUUGUCAUUUGAGGAUGUGGCUGUGUACUUCACACAGGAGUAGUAGCUCCUGGACUCUGCUCAGAAGAAUUUGUACACAUAUUCAUGUGUGGAGCCACUGCCCAGUCACUCAUCUUUCAUGUUUGUUUACUGAAAACUGGGACCUUUGAAGUGUGUGACAACGUAGGGCUUUCGUUUAAGAAUUUAAAAAUUCAAAAAAAAAAAAAAAGAAUUUAAAAAUUCGGGGACACCUUGGUGGCUCUGGGGUUGAGUGUCUGCCAUCGGCUCAGGGCGUGAUCCUGGAGUCCUGGGAUCAAAUCCCACAUUAGGCUCCCUGCAUGGAGCCCGCUUCUCCCUCUGCCUGUAUCUCUGC
RNAcentral lists this long non-coding RNA (1687 nucleotides) under Canis lupus familiaris (dog). RNAcentral's name for it is "lncRNA (ENSCAFG00000052017.1)". Lineage: Eukaryota; Metazoa; Chordata; Mammalia; Carnivora; Canidae. The record is from RNAcentral.